GACGUAGGGGGCGAGCGUUGUCCGGAUUUAUUGGGCGUAAAGCGCGCGCAGGCGGUUCGGAAAGUCGGAUGUGAAAAUCCGGGGCUCAACCCCGGACUUGCACCCGAUACUCCCGGACUGGAGGCAGGUAGGGGAGAGCGGAAUUCCCGGUGUAGCGGUGAAAUGCGCAGAUAUCGGGAAGAACACCGGUGGCGAAGGCGGCUCUCUGGGCCUGUCCUGACGCUCAGGCGCGAAAGCUAGGGGAGCGAACAGG
RNAcentral lists this ribosomal RNA (253 nucleotides) under uncultured bacterium. RNAcentral's name for it is "partial 16S ribosomal RNA". It matches the Rfam family "Bacterial small subunit ribosomal RNA", at positions 524 to 776 of the family's 1533-position model. The record is from RNAcentral.